AAAAAAGGAGCUUAAAGUUGUCGUGAUGAAAGAAUGUUUCUCAUUGGCUUGAGCCUUAUGACGUCAUGAAAUUUGACGACCCAUGGUUUCAACCACCAUGAAUCCAAUGUGUCAUGGCUGCUGUGCUGUUAAGAUAACCGUGUGUUUACGUUGUUUGCGGCUCAGGUUUUUCAUCGAUUUUCCUUUUAAUUAAUCUUUUUAACAGCUCCGACUGUAAAUGACUCAGUUCUGAGUCGAACUCGAAACGUCUCGGCUUUUUUAAUUGUGUGUUUCCCGUUGGUUCCCCCUUGUUUUUCUACUGUUAAGUUGCUUGCGUUGUGUGUGCCGGGUUGUUUUCCUUCAGAUUUUCUUGUGAACUGUUUCUGUUUUUGUGUGAAAAAUGCCACCACGGCAGCCGGACGAAGGAUUUGAAAAAGGCGACAGCCGCAAUUUGCCUCCUGUGAGCGCUGUAACCUUGGCAAAUUUUUUCUCCACGGAGGAUUUUGUUAUCUAUGAACCUGAAGUCAGGCAUGAUAAAACUGAACGUUCUACCAGAGAAGCAUACGGGGAUAAGGCAGUAGGCUUUGUCCAAGUUAAAAGAGCGGAUGGAAAGUGCCAUGUGAAAGCCUGCGUUACUCCGGAGCAUAAGGUGAAAGCCCCUCCCUAUAAUGUCCACUGCAUUGUUGACGAAAAGGAGGAGGAAAUUGUGAAAGCAUACUGCGAUGACUGUGCAGCGAGUGAAGGUUGCUGUAAGCAUGUCGUUGCCUUAGUUGCUUGGCUUCAUCGCAGGUACGAAGAGCCUUCCCCAACCUCCAUUACUGCCUACUGGAAAAAAUCGACACUGUCCAAAAUUGGAACCGACAUCAAAAUUAAGGCAGUCGCUGAAAUGGUCCCUCCUAAGAAUGUUAGGAGUUCAGCAAAUGUAAGUGAGGAAUCCAAGGCGCUUUUUUUGCUUCGUGUUCAAAAAUUUCCCUUGCGAAUUGUCAGCAGUCUCUCCUGUCUAUGUCUAUUGCACCCUUUCAAUCGUAUUCGAUUCACCAUUUACUUAAUUCUUACAAGCAAACUCCACAACCUCAUUCCGCUCCUCGCUUCUUACUUUACUGCCAAAGACAAAUGAAUCAGGAAACUUGUGACACCAUUGAAAUCCAGACUAGAUUGCAGUCUAAGUGUAGCUUGUGGCACGAUCUUCAUUACGGUCGUUUGACUGCCUCAAAGAUUCAUGAGGCAGCUCACUGUCAUACUGAAGAUGGUUCAUUCAUUAAAGGAUUGCAAGGUGCUCGUAAAAUAAAAACGAAAGCUAUGGAGCGUGGUCUUGAUUUGGAAAAAGAUGUUUUGGAGGUUGUCGGUAAAACUUUAUCAUGCAAGAUUUCUCCUUGCGGUUUAGUUUUGAGACGAGAAAAUCCCCAUCUUGGUGCUUCUCCUGAUGGUAUAUCAAAGCGCCAUGUGUUUGAAGUCAAGUGUCCUGUGUCGGAUAAAACUUUCCAAACCUACUUUACCAAAGAUUUUUCAGCCCCUUCUGAGAAAUAUUUAGAGCAGAUUAUGCACAAAUGUUCCUUUGUAAAAAAAAGAAAGGCUAUUUUUGUGUUGCUCACCCAAAUUUUAAGAAGUCGAAGUCUGUCAAAAUUUUAUCAGUAGAUUUUGAUGCAGAAAGGUAUCAUGAAAAAAGGCGGCGUGGAACUUUGUAUUGGAUGAAACAUGUUUACCCAAAACUUUACGCAAGUGCCUAGGGCAUUCAAAGAGAGUUGUAGCCACAAUUGCCGACUGAAAUAUGAACAGUAUUUAUCCCUUAAGAAAAUGUGCAACUUGGCGUUCAAAACGCUUCCAUGACUCUACAAUUAAAUUAAACCUUUUAGCCAAAUAUACGGUAGUCAUAGUUGACGCCCUCCUGUAAAAACCGAUCUUUAAUUUUAAUUUGUGCAAGCUGUCGCGGAUUGAUCAUGCAAUCAAAGUGUGAUGCCAUAGCAGAAAUAAUGGACUUGUUUCACUUUUCCUUUCUCAAGUGGCCUUGAAAUUAAGUUAACCAACCAUUCUAAUUUUAUGUGAUGUAU
RNAcentral lists this long non-coding RNA (2027 nucleotides) under Bemisia tabaci. Its description in RNAcentral is "lncRNA ENSSSA3NGG004026". Lineage: Eukaryota; Metazoa; Arthropoda; Insecta; Hemiptera; Aleyrodidae. The record is from RNAcentral.